RNAcentral lists this ribosomal RNA (407 nucleotides) under uncultured bacterium. RNAcentral describes it as "partial 16S ribosomal RNA". It matches the Rfam family "Bacterial small subunit ribosomal RNA", at positions 28 to 526 of the family's 1533-position model. The record is from RNAcentral.
GACGAACGCUGGCGGCGUGCCUAAUACAUGCAAGUCGAACGAGUGGCGGACGGGUGAGUAACGCGUAAAGAACUUGCCUCACAGCUAGGGACAACAUUUAGAAAUGAAUGCUAAUACCUGAUACUGUGAGAGAGCUUUGCGUCCCAUUAGCUAGUUGGAGAGGUAACAGCUCACCAAGGCGAUGAUGGGUAGCCGGCCUGGGAGGGAGAACGGCCACAAGGGGACUGAGACACGGCCCUUAGUCCUACGGGAGGCAGCAGUGGGUAAUAAUGGACAAUGGACCGAAGUCUGAUCCAGCAAUUCUGUGUGCACGAUGAAGUUUUUCGGAAUGUAAAGUGCUUUCAGUUGGGAAGCGGUACCAACAGAAGAAGUGACGGCUAAAUACGUGCCAGCAGCCGCGGUAAUUC